This 403-nucleotide ribosomal RNA is filed under the name uncultured bacterium. RNAcentral's name for it is "bacterial SSU rRNA". It matches the Rfam family "Bacterial small subunit ribosomal RNA", at positions 355 to 774 of the family's 1533-position model. The record is from RNAcentral.
UGAGGGAUAUUGGUCAAUGGGCGCAAGCCUGAACCAGCGACGCCGCGUGGGUGAAGAAGGUCUUCGGAUCGUAAAGCCCUUUUCCCACUGAAGAGGAAGGACGGUAGGUGGGGAAGAAGUCUCGGCUAACUACGUGCCAGCAGCCGCGGUAAAACGUAGGAGACAAGCGUUAUCCGGAUUUACUGGGCGUAAAGCGCGUGCAGGUGGUUUCGUAAGUUGGAUGUGAAAGCUCCUGGCUUAACUGGGAGAGGUCGUUCAAAACUGCGAGGCUUGAGAGUGGUAGAGGGAGGUGGAAUUCCGGGUGUAGUGGUGAAAUGCGUAGAUAUCCGGAGGAACACCAGUGGCGAAAGCGGCCUCCUGGACCAUUUCUGACACUCAGACGCGAAAGCUAAGGUAGCAAACG